Molecule: long non-coding RNA, 2865 nt
Organism: Rhineura floridana
Lineage: Eukaryota; Metazoa; Chordata; Lepidosauria; Squamata; Rhineuridae
Exons: 3
Source: RefSeq, a predicted model, not a curated record
AAAGGCCGCAGAUGCUCAGAGGCACUCAGCCUCGGCUGGCAAAAUUCAAGAUAAUCAUUUGGCAAAUUUUGUGCGUUAAAUAAAAUUCGAAUUAAAUCAAUAUUACCCAAAACCACGGGUACACGGAUGCCCGUUCGAGAAAAUUCAAGGAAGCCCCGUAUAUAAUUCUAAGCACGGGAACUCAGUUUGAAUAACGAAAUCUACUAGUAGUUGUUAGGAGAGGCCAUCUUUAACCUUUAAUUUCUUCAUGAGUUGGGGAUGCAGAACGUGCCCCAACCUAGCGCAGCAGCACGACGACAUCCGGGCCAAAAUGGCUUCUAGAGCGAAGGAGUAAUCACGGCCAGCCAUAAAUCGAGCCUUGUAUGUCUUUCUCCACUCGCUAUUUUUAAGCCGUCAAACCCUUCAAUAAUCGCUAACGUAUUAUUUUGGUCCUCGUCCGUUUGGAAGCCAGCAGAGCUGCCCGCCUCCCUCCAACCGGGGCUGGGGUUGAAAAAUGGCCGCUUUCCAGUCGUCCUUCCCCACCCGCACCCUCCGCCUCGGCUCUAUCCCGAAACUUUCUCUGAUGGGCUUUGAUUCGAAAUUCCAAGGGCUCAAAAAAGAAGAAAAGCGGGAUCGGGUGCGAGAGAUAUCUGCCGGCUGCAGUUUGCAUGCUAUUUAUUUCAGUCUUGUUCUUAAAAUACGAAUAGCACGUGCAUUUCUUUUUGAACAUUAGAAGGGAAAGGAAGAGAGGAGACAGAUGCAUCGUAGCGACUCCCAGUUGCACGCCUGCUCGUCUUCUGCGUCUCAACUGCCCGUGCUGCUCGCCCAUUGUGGAGCAACUGGUGCCUGGCAAGGGAGUUCAGUGAAUGGGGUGGGAAGCCGUUUUUUGCUGCUUGCGUCUAAAGACCGCACCGCAAAGAUCGUUCGCGGAAGGCGCCGAGCGCUGCAGCCGUUGGGCUUCGGACAGCAAAAGGAGAAAAAGAGCCCGUCCCUUUGCCUGAGCCAGUCUUUUCGGUUUUUUGAAGCAGACGCUGGAACCCGGAGCGCAGUCUGACGGAACGUACGGCCACACAACUACAACGUGAACCCGGAACCUUCCUUCCACUGGCUGCUUUUCCCUGCUGCUAGCCCGUCAGGCGCGGUGGCCAAGUGGUAAGGCGUCGGUCUCGUAAACCGAAGAUCGCGGGUUCGAACCCCGUCCGUGCCUCAAAAUUGGACUUGUUAGUGUCACGGCUUGCUAAUGAGGGGGAUGGAAAGGGAUUCCCUUUCACAAGCCGCUUUUUGUUUUUCAGGCUCGGCUUCCUUCAUUGAUUUUUUUUUAAGAGGAGUGGGGGAAGGGACAGCCUGCGGGCUGCCACCUUAUACCCUUGGCCCGCUGCUCCCUGGGGAGGUGCUCUGACACUCACACAAGUCUAUGUUAGCAAGGAUGCCCGCUGAUUUGUUCUUGCGGGGAUCGGAGCAACCCACGCUCGGGGUUAUCUUGCAAGAUGAGCUAGAAAAUAGUCAUUCCCCACAAAACACAGCCACCCGGUGGAGCUUCCUCCAUUGCGCGGGAAACAGGGUUAUAAAAGACGGGGGAGGUGUGCGUGGCUCAUUUUGCGACUGACUAUUUUAAACGUCGCGGCGCUGGUGGCAUAGAAGGGAAAGAAAGAGCAGCCUACGGAAGACGGUCAUUUUCUAUAUUGAGCGCGAAUGGGUGGCAGUGCAAAGGAGCGCAGUGCACGCACUGGAACCGCGAAUCUCUGUUGCCGUAGGAAAGGAGACCGGCUGUGCAGUGGCUUUGCGCGGCGCUGCAAGAAGAACCCCUAUGGAUUCCACCGACACGCUUUCAUUACGCCGGAUCUUUUAAAUAUGACCACACCGCCAGAACAAAUAAAUAUCUGAAACGCCGGCUUUGAGGAACCCAAAGAUUGGCAUACCUGUGGUUUCUAGAUGGUCACCCAUCCAGACACAGACCAGACCCAUGCCUGCUUCAUGUGCCAUACACUGUACAUUUGUCGUGUAGAUCAGAGGUCCCCAAACUCUGGUCCAUGAACCACCAGCGGUCCGCAAGCUUCAUUCAGGUCUGUUUAAAAAAGAAGAAGUGUGGUCUAGCAGUACCUGAACAAAGGAGGGAUGGAGAAACAUAAUGGAGAAAGAACGCUCUUUUCUUCAGCGUCCUCUAAGGCCUAACCACAUGCAACAAUGAGGCAUGCAUCUCUUCUGUCCUCCUUCCGCAUCUCCCCCAUAAUUUCCCAUAAACACAUGACAUCAGUGCAAGCCUGAUGCUACCUAAAGUGGAGCCCAACUGGUGACCCCCCCCCUUGGGCCAAACCUUCCUGCACCUUUCAGACAUCAAUUCCUACUUUCAUAUAUUUCCCGCUCCCCAGUGCUGUCUGAAGUAUAUCUCUUCACCCAUUGGCUCUGCAUUCUGUGACAUCACUGUAUGCAUGAGGUUUCCUCAACACCUGCGCCAGUUUGUUGGCUGCCACUUGUAAAAAAGGUAAAGGUGUCCCUGUGAUGUUCCUGUAUUAAUGUAUAUAUGGUAAGUACUGUUUGUAUGGAAGAUAUGUGGUAAGUGGAGUGAAAGAGGAGGGGGGAGUAAAUGAGCAGUAGAAUGCUGGAUGAUUGGCUGAGUGUUUGAAUGGCUGAGAGUAUAAAUGGAAGGAUGACAGUUGAAUCUGGGUGGACGUUGGUGGGUUGUUUGAGAGGUGUUUGGUGGGGUUUUUGAGAGGAGAUUGUGUGGAGAGUUGGUGGAUGUGAGGAAAGUGUGGAGUUCGGAUUAAUACUAAGACAAGUAUCACAGGAAUAGAUGAAACCAUAUGCUUAUGAGCCUUUAUAAAGUAAUCUUGUUAUUUCUAAUAUUUAAUAAACACUAUUUUGGUUUACCGGAGGCCUGAUCCUUGG